AACACGAACUCCGAAUCUAAAGAAACAAAUGAACCAGUGGAGACAUUACCGAUAAUGCCUGGGUUUUACAUGGUGAAGCCUGAUGGGAUCUCCAACACAGCCUUCAAAUAUCCGAACGGAAAGGCCCAAACACCGUUUAGCACUAAGAUACAGGAUGAUAUUAUAAGUAAAAAGGAACCAAAAGCUGGGAGUCCUGAUUCUGUCAGCAAAGACUUGAUUUUGAAAAUAUUCAAAGACGUAUUUCAUGGUGAUGCGAAUUCACGGGAUCGGUAAGCUAUUUUGUUUUUCUACAAAAAUGACUCAACUUCAGCUAACCACACUGUUGUAGAAGCAAGAUAGUGCGUUACACAGCAUCUCGAAGUGGAACAUUUAUUUCAUACUCCUCCUUUUUACUAUAUCUAAAUUGUCUGCACGGAUA
Molecule: long non-coding RNA, 418 nt
Organism: Trichoplusia ni (cabbage looper)
Lineage: Eukaryota; Metazoa; Arthropoda; Insecta; Lepidoptera; Noctuidae
Exons: 3
Source: RefSeq, a predicted model, not a curated record